UGGGGAAUAUUGGGCAAUGGGCGAAAGCCUGACCCAGCAACGCCGCGUGAGUGAUGAAGGCCUUCGGGUUGUAAAACUCUUUGAACAGGGACGAAGAAAGUGACGGUACCUGUAGAACAAGCCACGGCUAACUACGUGCCAGCAGCCGCGGUAAUACGUAGGUGGCGAGCGUUAUCCGGAUUUACUGGGCGUAAAGGGCGUGUAGGCGGCUAGAUAAGUGUGAUGUUUAAAUCCAAGGCUUAACCUUGGGGUUCAUUACAAACUGUUUAGCUUGAGUGCUGGAGAGGAUAGUGGAAUUCCUAGUGUAGCGGUAAAAUGCGUAGAUAUUAGGAGGAACACCGGUGGCGAAGGCGGCUAUCUGGACAGUAACUGACGCUGAGGCGCGAAAGCGCGGGGAGCAAACAGG
RNAcentral lists this ribosomal RNA (406 nucleotides) under Verrucomicrobiota bacterium. Its description in RNAcentral is "Verrucomicrobia bacterium partial 16S ribosomal RNA". It matches the Rfam family "Bacterial small subunit ribosomal RNA", at positions 355 to 776 of the family's 1533-position model. The record is from RNAcentral. Lineage: Bacteria; Pseudomonadati; Verrucomicrobiota.